GCAGCUGCUAGGGCUAGGGUUCUGUUCUGUUCAUGUUCGUGUCCACUGUCUAGUGGAAUCUGGCCUCUGGGUUCUCCUUCUCCACUUCUCCCUAUUCUCCUCUUCGCCUCUUCGCUUAAGCCUCUUCCCAGUUCCCGUCCCGAUCCCGAAUCCCUCUUCCGUGAGUUAGGGUUCCAUUCCAUUCGAUUUCGGCCAUUCCCAGCACAACAGUAUCCCAGUUCCCAGACUCCCUUCCCAUUCGGUCCUGCCUUUCCGAUUUUGGCUUCAGAACUUCGACGCACGGAGGCUACACACCGGCACACCGGCAGCUGGCAGCGGCACUCCCAAUUCCCCCUUCGGCCCUUCCCAGUUCCCACCUCGCAUUGCGCAGUGUGCACUGCGCUGUAGUUGGCGAUUCAGAAGCACUUCCAGUUCCCCGGUGUUGGUGUUGCUGUGUUGAUCUGAAAUCUGAUCUUGGUGUUGGUCUAGUGUUCCCCGGCGGCAUUCCCCCUUCCCAAUUCGGCUGCAGCGACUGCCGCGAUUCAGCUUACACACAAGACAACAAGCAGCCUAUAGUCGUGAGUGUUUCUUCCUUGCUGCUUUAAAUGCUAGUAGGAACUAGCAAAUGUGAGCAUGCUAUUAUUCUUCCUUUUCUCCUUAAUCUUUCCUAUCAUGCAUAGUUAAUUGAAAUUUUAUUUACUAAUUCAUUUUGUAUAAUGUUGAAGAAGUUUUUUAGGAUCUUUAUUCAUUGGCUUGAAUUUUUUUCGAGGUUUGAGACUUUGUAAAUCAAAUUUCACUAUAAUGGGAUUCCCCUUGUGUUUUCAUUUUUUGUUCUUGUUUUUCUCCAAUUAAAUUUAGUUUUAUUUCUGCUAGCUAGCAAUGUUUCAUGAAAAAAACAAUUUCUGGGCGGAUUCCUUCAUCUGAAUUGAAGUAAUUGAUAGUUCAAAUGGAAUUUUGAGAUUCUUUGUUUUUUUUUUUUUUGAAAUCUGUACCCGAGUUAUUCUAUGAAUCUUCUUGCUAAUGUCUCUCCUUUUUGGCUACUUGAAACUAUUGACCCUUCUGUUAUUGAAAUUGGAUUUAGUCCUACUUGUGCAUACUUUAUAAAAACUCAGAAACUGUGGUUGUCAUGAACCGUAGCUAGAAGAAAUAAAACUAAAUUUAGUUGGAGAAAAACAAGGACAAAGAAUGAAGACGCAUGCAGAAUCCCAUUACAGUGGAAUUUGAUUUCCAAAGUCUUAGAUAUCGAUAAAAAUUCAGACCAAUUAAUAAAGAUCAAUAGAAACCCUGUUCACAAGAUGGUCCCUAUUUUUGCUCCACGAGGACAAGCCUGUGUGUGAAUGUUUGGUAAUUUUUGAGUACAUUGACAAGGUGUGGAAGGACAAAUGCCUUUUUCUACCUUUUGGGCAAUUCCCUACCACUGAGCUCAAGCAAGGUUUUGACUUUUGGGCUGAUUUUGUUAACAAAAGAGGUUCCUACUUCCCUUCUUCUGCAGGUUGCUCUAAGAUCUUUCUUGUUAAACAGAUUUUUU
Molecule: long non-coding RNA, 1507 nt
Organism: Malania oleifera
Lineage: Eukaryota; Viridiplantae; Streptophyta; Magnoliopsida; Santalales; Ximeniaceae
Exons: 2
Source: RefSeq, a predicted model, not a curated record